AUUGAACGCUGGCGGCAGGCCUAACACAUGCAAGUCGAGCGGACGAAGGGAGCUCGCUCCCGGAUUCAGCGGCGGACGGGCGAGUAAUGCCUAGGAAUCUGCCUGGCAGUGGGGGCUAACGUCCGGUCACGGGCGCUAAUACCGUAUACGUCCUGAGGUUGAACGUGGGGGAUCUUCGGACCUCACGCUAUCUGAUGAGCCUAGGUCGGAUUAGCUAGUUGGUGGGGUAAAGGCCUACCAAGGCGACGAUCCGUAACUGGUCUGAGAGGAUGAUCAGCCACACUGGAACUGAGACACGGUCCAGACUCCUACGGGAGGCAGCAGUAGGGAAUCUUGGACAAUGGGCGAAAGCCUGAUCCAGCCAUGCCGCGUGAGUGAAGAAGGUCUUCGGAUUGUAAAGCACUUUAAGUUGGGAAGAAGAGAAGUAUGUGAAUACCUUGCUGUUUUGACGGUACCAACAGAGUAAGCACCGGCUAACUUCGUG
This 484-nucleotide ribosomal RNA is filed under the name uncultured bacterium. RNAcentral's name for it is "partial 16S ribosomal RNA". It matches the Rfam family "Bacterial small subunit ribosomal RNA", at positions 30 to 507 of the family's 1533-position model. The record is from RNAcentral.